GUUGGCGGCCAAAGCGGAGGGGGUACGCCCGGUCUCAUUCCGAACCCGGAAGCUAAGCCCUCCAGUGUAGUGGGUAGUACUGUGGUGAGAUACCACGGGAACUCCACCACGCUGCCAACC
This 120-nucleotide ribosomal RNA is filed under the name Candidatus Aenigmarchaeota archaeon ex4484_224. The record is from RNAcentral. Lineage: Archaea; Nanobdellati; Candidatus Aenigmatarchaeota.